Molecule: ribosomal RNA, 253 nt
Filed under: uncultured bacterium
Lineage: Bacteria
Description: partial 16S ribosomal RNA
Rfam family: Bacterial small subunit ribosomal RNA
Source: RNAcentral
UACAGAGGUCUCAACCGUUGUUCGGAUUCAUUGGGCGUAAAGGGUGCGUAGGCGGUCGGGUAAGUCGGAUGUGAAAUCCCAGGGCUCAACCCUGGAACUGCAUUCGAUACUGCCUGGCUAGGGUACUGGAGAGGAGACUGGAAUUUACGGUGUAGCAGUGAAAUGCGUAGAUAUCGUAAGGAAGACCAGUGGCGAAGGCGGGUCUCUGGACAGUUCCUGACGCUGAGGCACGAAGGCCAGGGGAGCAAACGGG